AUGGGCCAGCGUUGCCUGGCAUCCCCGCCCCAACCAACGCCCCACACCCGCUAGUCUAAUAUCAAUAUAACAAAGGGAACACUUACCAAGAUCAUGUUCUUGCUUGAAUAAACUCUUUGCCAUGUCACUAUACUCAAAAACAAACAUAAAAAUUUAGAAAAGCAACCUACAGGUCCUAUAUUUGCAGUGAAAAUAACAAUUCACAAGGUCAAAAUUCAUCUUGAUUACACCUUUUACGGUCAAAGUCAAAACAAAAUUCACCAAGUAAUCAUGACCCAUCAAUAAAUAAACCGAUAAUACGAUUAUAAUCGGCGUAAUUUCUUUAUAAUUUAUUAAGGCAAUUAAAAUGAACAUGCGAUAUUCAAACUAAAUAAAACCCUGAUAGUAAGAUUGUUAAGUAAUCAAGUUUAUAUUCAGUAAUUCACACGUCUGAUGAUAAAGUCAAAAACUUAAAACCCACAAGAAUUAUGCGACUUUUACACAAGAUAUCCUCAGCAAGAACACAAAUAAAGAGGAACAGAGUUAAUUGCAGCAAAAGAGGAAAGAAAACAAACCUAUUUCGACGAUAUAAU
Molecule: long non-coding RNA, 572 nt
Filed under: Helianthus annuus (common sunflower)
Lineage: Eukaryota; Viridiplantae; Streptophyta; Magnoliopsida; Asterales; Asteraceae
Description: sRNA HanXRQr2_Chr13g0578151
Source: RNAcentral